Long non-coding RNA from Oncorhynchus tshawytscha (Chinook salmon), 339 nucleotides. RefSeq lists it as uncharacterized. Lineage: Eukaryota; Metazoa; Chordata; Actinopteri; Salmoniformes; Salmonidae. The transcript has 3 exons. The record is from RefSeq and is a predicted model, not a curated record.
CUCGAGCUGACUUAUCGUGACGUCACCCACUGUAUCUGACUGUAUGCAGCCCUUCAUGGAGCGCGUGGCUGCGAGCACAUGGAAAGGAGGUCGAGAUUUGUGCUUGAAAGACACGCACCUAUUCAUCCGAAAUGGAAUAUAAAUAAUAAUGCGCAAAAUAGAAAUAGAAUCAGAGAACGGGAAGACUGUUGAGACUGCUCUGCUCUACUCAGCUGUCAAUCAACGAGGAUCAGCAGAUUUAUAAUGAAAAUCAAGACACCUGGAUGGAAGUUAUGAAAAGUCCUCCCGGUUCUGACCCCUGCCUGACUCUGGACUACUUUCCUGCCUGCCUGAUCAUCC